This 67-nucleotide transfer RNA is filed under the name Triticum aestivum (bread wheat). It matches the Rfam family "tRNA". From Rfam's summary of the family: Transfer RNA (tRNA) molecules are approximately 80 nucleotides in length. Their secondary structure includes four short double-helical elements and three loops (D, anti-codon, and T loops). Lineage: Eukaryota; Viridiplantae; Streptophyta; Magnoliopsida; Poales; Poaceae. RNAcentral also lists the same sequence under 1 other name. The record is from Rfam by way of RNAcentral.
CCAUUGCUCAGUUGGUAAAGCACGAAGCUCUUAACCUUGUGGAUGUGGGUUCAAGCCCCGUGAUGGG